CCUACACGACUCCCAGAAAGUCGCGUCUCCCCCAACCCCCAUGCCCAGGACCUGAGGACAAAGGUCUAGCGAUUGUCCGUCCCCUCCCCCAGUGAGGACAGCCGAGAAAGACCUGCCUUUGUUGUGUACAGGUGAUAUCUCACUGUGUUAUCCAGACUGGACUCAAAUUUCUGAGCUCCAGUGAUCCUCUUGCCUCAGCCUCCGAAGUAGUCAGGACUACAGUGUUACUGUCCCCAUUUUACAGAUGAAGAAACUGAGGCCCCAGAUCACAGGGCUGGUGAGAAUAACAUGUCGUAUGUCUCCAGAGCUAACAGUUAACUACUAUAGUGUGCCACACAAGGAGAGAGCAGCAGUAGAGAGGGGUGCCAGUUCCUCUGAUGGAGGAUAAAAAAGAAAGAUUGCCAGUAUGGGCAACAUAGUAAGACCCUGUCUCUACAAAAAAUAAAAAUAAAAAAAUUA
Long non-coding RNA from Mandrillus leucophaeus (drill), 459 nucleotides. RefSeq lists it as uncharacterized. The transcript has 3 exons. NCBI's taxonomy places the organism in Eukaryota, Metazoa, Chordata, Mammalia, Primates, Cercopithecidae. The record is from RefSeq and is a predicted model, not a curated record.